GGGGCAUGCGGCCGAGAGGCCGCUCCCCUCAAAUGCAUCGGUUGGGCCUGUGGGUUCGAACUCGAUUGGGCGUUGUACCAUCCUCGCUCCGCAGAGUUUGUCCCGCUGAUACGUGCCCUUCCCCGACCAGCCUAUGGAGUGGCGGUCAACACUUUUUGAAAUCUGACCUCAAAUCAGGUAGGACUACCCGCUGAACUUAA
This 200-nucleotide unclassified non-coding RNA is filed under the name soil metagenome. RNAcentral describes it as "partial contains internal transcribed spacer 2 and large subunit ribosomal RNA". The record is from RNAcentral.